AUGGUGGGGGGUGGAAAGCUUUAUUGUGGUUUUGGAUGGACUCGCGGCCUAUCAGCUUGUUGGUGAGGUAAUGGCUUACCAAGGCGACAACGGGUAGCCGGCCUGAGAGGGUGACCGGCCACACUGGGACUGAAACACGGCCCAAACUCCUACGGGAGGCAGCAGUGGGGAAUAUUGCACAAUGGGCGAAAGCCUGAUGCAGCGACGCCGCGUGAGGGAUGACGGCCUUCGGGUUGUAAACCUCUUUCAGUAGGGAAAAAGCGAAAGUGACGGUACCUGCAAAAAAAGCGCCGGCUAACUACGUGCCAGCAGCCGCGGUAAUACGUAGGGCGCAAGCGUUAUCCGGAAUUAUUGGGCGUAAAGAGCUCGUAGGCGGUUUGUCGCGUCUGCCGUGAAAGUCCGGGGCUCAACUCCGGAUCUGCGGUGGGUACGGGCAGACUAGAGUGAUGUAGGGGAGACUGGAAUUCCUGGUGUAGCGGUGAAAUGCGCAAAUAUCAGGAGGAACACCGAUGGCGAAGGCAGGUCUCUGGGCAUUAACUGACGCUGAGGAGCGAAAGCAUGGGGAGCGAACAGGAUUAGAUACCCUGGUAGUCCAUGCCGUAAACGUUGGGCACUAGGUGUGGGGGACAUUCCACGUUUUCCGCGCCGUAGCUAACGCAUUAAGUGCCCCGCCUGGGGAGUACGGCCGCAAGGCUAAAACUCAAAGGAAUUGACGGGGGCCCGCACAAGCGGCGGAGCAUGCGGAUUAAUUCGAUGCAACGCGAAGAACCUUACCAAGGCUUGACAUGAACCGGUAAUACCUGGAGACAGGUGCCCCGCUUGCGGUCGGUUUACAGGUGGUGCAUGGUUGUCGUCAGCUCGUGUCGUGAGAUGUUGGGUUAAGUCCCGCAACGAGCGCAACCCUCGUUCUAUGUUGCCAGCACGUGAUGGUGGGGACUCAUAGGAGACUGCCGGGGUCAACUCGGAGGAAGGUGGGGACGACGUCAAAUCAUCAUGCCCCUUAUGUCUUGGGCUUCACGCAUGCUACAAUGGCCGGUACAAAGGGUUGCGAUACUGUGAGGUGGAGCUAAUCCCAAAAAGCCGGUCUCAGUUCGGAUUGGGGUCUGCAA
RNAcentral lists this ribosomal RNA (1109 nucleotides) under Arthrobacter sp. XSW007. RNAcentral's name for it is "bacterial SSU rRNA". It matches the Rfam family "Bacterial small subunit ribosomal RNA", at positions 189 to 1310 of the family's 1533-position model. The record is from RNAcentral. Lineage: Bacteria; Bacillati; Actinomycetota; Actinomycetes; Micrococcales; Micrococcaceae.